This 481-nucleotide ribosomal RNA is filed under the name uncultured bacterium. RNAcentral describes it as "partial 16S ribosomal RNA". It matches the Rfam family "Bacterial small subunit ribosomal RNA", at positions 28 to 507 of the family's 1533-position model. The record is from RNAcentral.
GAUGAACGCUGGCGGCGUGCUUAACGCAUGCAAGUCGAACGAAGCACUUUAUUUGAUUUCCUUCGGGACUGAUUAUUUUGUGACUGAGUGGCGGACGGGUGAGUAACGCGUGGGUAACCUGCCUUGUACAGGGGGAUAACAGUUGGAAACGGCUGCUAAUACCGCAUAAGCGCACAGCAUCGCAUGAUGCAGUGUGAAAAACUCCGGUGGUAUAAGAUGGACCCGCGUUGGAUUAGCUAGUUGGUGAGGUAACGGCCCACCAAGGCGACGAUCCAUAGCCGACCUGAGAGGGUGACCGGCCACAUUGGGACUGAGACACGGCCCAAACUCCUACGGGAGGCAGCAGUGGGGAAUAUUGCACAAUGGGCGAAAGCCUGAUGCAGCGACGCCGCGUGAGCGAAGAAGUAUUUCGGUAUGUAAAGCUCUAUCAGCAGGGAAGAUAAUGACGGUACCUGACUAAGAAGCACCGGCUAAAUACGUG